This 392-nucleotide ribosomal RNA is filed under the name uncultured bacterium. RNAcentral's name for it is "partial 16S ribosomal RNA". It matches the Rfam family "Bacterial small subunit ribosomal RNA", at positions 523 to 918 of the family's 1533-position model. The record is from RNAcentral.
AUACGUAGGGGGCAAGCGUUAUCCGGAAUUACUGGGCGUAAAGGGUGCGUAGGCGGUUUAUCAAGUCAGGGGUGAAAGGCUACGGCUCAACCGUAGUGAGCCUCUGAAACUGGUGAACUUGAGUGUAGGAGAGGAAAGUGGAAUUCCCAGUGUAGCGGUGAAAUGCGUAGAUAUUGGGAGGAACACCAGUGGCGAAGGCGACUUUCUGGACUACAACUGACGCUGAGGCACGAAAGCGUGGGGAGCAAACAGGAUUAGAUACCCUGGUAGUCCACGCUGUAAACGAUGAGUACUAGGUGUCGGCUGUCAAAGGUCGGUGCCGGCGUUAACACAUUAAGUACUCCGCCUGGGGAGUACGCUCGCAAGAGUGAAACUCAAAUGAAUUGACGGGG